GACGAACGCUGGCGGCGUGCCUAAUACAUGCAAGUCGAGCGGACCAAAGGGAGCUUGCUCCUGGAGGUUAGCGGCGAACGGGUGAGUAACACGUGGGCAACCUGCCUGUAAGACUGGGAUAACAUCGAGAAAUCGGUGCUAAUACCGGAUAAUAAAAAGAACUGCAUGGUUCUUUUUUGAAAGAUGGUUUCGGCUAUCACUUACAGAUGGGCCCGCGGCGCAUUAGCUAGUUGGUGAGGUAACGGCUCACCAAGGCAACGAUGCGUAGCCGACCUGAGAGGGUGAUCGGCCACACUGGGACUGAGACACGGCCCAGACUCCUACGGGAGGCAGCAGUAGGGAAUCUUCCGCAAUGGACGAAAGUCUGACGGAGCAACGCCGCGUGAGUGAUGAAGGUUUUCGGAUCGUAAAACUCUGUUGUUAGGGAAGAACAAGUGCCGUUCGAAAGGGCGGCACCUUGACGGUACCUAACGAGAAGCCACGGCUAACUACGUGCCAGCAGCCGCGGUAAAGUC
RNAcentral lists this ribosomal RNA (515 nucleotides) under uncultured bacterium. Its description in RNAcentral is "bacterial SSU rRNA". It matches the Rfam family "Bacterial small subunit ribosomal RNA", at positions 28 to 526 of the family's 1533-position model. The record is from RNAcentral.